UCUACCUACACCUGUUGUAUUCAUCAUUUCCCUGUCAGGUCUACCUACACCUGUUGUAUUCAGCAUUUCACUGUAAGGUCUACCUACACCUGUUGUAUUCAGCAUUUCACUGUAAGGUCUACCUACACCUGUUGUAUUCAGCAUUUCACUGUAAGGUCUACCUACACCUGUUGUAUUCAGCAUUUCACUGUAAGGUCUACCUACACCUGUUGUAUUCAGCAUUUCACUGUAAGGUCUACUACACCUGUUGUAUUCAGCAUUUCACUGUGAGGUCUACCUACACCUGUUGUAUUCAGCAUUUCCCUGU
Oncorhynchus tshawytscha (Chinook salmon) is the source of this 307-nucleotide long non-coding RNA. Lineage: Eukaryota; Metazoa; Chordata; Actinopteri; Salmoniformes; Salmonidae. The record is from Ensembl.